RNAcentral lists this ribosomal RNA (439 nucleotides) under uncultured bacterium. RNAcentral describes it as "bacterial SSU rRNA". It matches the Rfam family "Bacterial small subunit ribosomal RNA", at positions 958 to 1399 of the family's 1533-position model. The record is from RNAcentral.
AACGCGAAGAACCUUACCUGGGUUUGACAUCCUCGGACAACCGUAGAGAUACGGCUUUUGUAGCAAUACAACCGAGAGACAGGUGCUGCAUGGCUGUCGUCAGCUCGUGUGGUGACAUGUUGGGUUAAGUCCCGCAACGAGCGCAACCCCUAUGAUUAGUUGCCCCGCAAGGGGCCCUUUAGUCAGACUGCUCUGUGAAACGGAGAGGAAGGUGGGGAUGACGUCAAGUCAGGAUGGCCCUUACGGCCAGGGCUGCACACGUACUACAAUGCUCAGUACAGAAUGAACCGAAACCGCAAGGUGGAGGCAAUCCCUAAAAACUGAGCCCAGUUCGGAUUGAGGGCUGCAAUUCGCCCUCAUGAAGUUGGAAUCGCUAGUAAUGGCGCAUCAGCUACGGCGCCGUGAAUACGUUCCCGGGCCUUGUACACACCGACUGUAC